AAUUAAUAAGCUUUGCUUAAGCAUUUGUUUUGAAAACAUAAAAAAGAUUUCUCUAUUAAUUUUAC
RNAcentral lists this transfer RNA (65 nucleotides) under Adicella ragma. RNAcentral's name for it is "tRNA-Ser". Lineage: Eukaryota; Metazoa; Arthropoda; Insecta; Trichoptera; Leptoceridae. The record is from RNAcentral.